This 681-nucleotide ribosomal RNA is filed under the name uncultured endomycorrhiza of Neottia nidus-avis. Its description in RNAcentral is "eukaryotic LSU rRNA". It matches the Rfam family "Eukaryotic large subunit ribosomal RNA", at positions 1 to 667 of the family's 3401-position model. The record is from RNAcentral. Lineage: Eukaryota; Fungi; Basidiomycota; Agaricomycetes; Sebacinales; Sebacinaceae.
CUUGACCUCAAAUCGAGUAGGACCACCCGCUGAACUUAAGCAUAUCAAUAAGCGGAGGAAAAGAAACUAACAAGGAUUCCCCUAGUAACGGCGAGUGAAGAGGGAAGAGCUCAAAUUUUGAAUCUGGCGUCUCUGGCGUCCGAAUUGUAAUCUAGAGAAGUGUUUUCCGUGACGGACCGUGCAUAAGUCUCCUGGAAUGGAGCGUCAUAGAGGGUGAGAAUCCCGUACAUGGCAUGGACUCCCGUUGCUCUGUGAUACACUCUCGACGAGUCGAGUUGUUUGGGAAUGCAGCUCUAAAUGGGUGGUAAAUGCCAUCUAAAGCUAAAUAUUGGCGAGAGACCGAUAGCGAACAAGUACCGUGAGGGAAAGAUGAAAAGCACUUUGGAAAGAGAGUGAAACAGUACGUGAAAUUGUUGAAAGGGAAACUCUGAAGUMMGUCGCGCCGUUCAGGAUUCAGCCUGCUUCUGCUCGGUUUACUUCCUGUUGGGUGGGUCAACAUCAGUUUCGAUCGGAGGAGAAAGGCUUGGGGAAGGUAGCAGCAUUCGUGCUGUGUUAUAGCCCCUUGUUGUAUACUUCGAUUGGGACUGAGGACUGCAGCACGCCUUUGGCCGGGGUUCGCCCACGUACGUGCUUAGGAUGUUGGCAUAAUGGCUUUAAGUGACCCGUCUUGAAACACGGACC